AGAUGAUUUCGAAGAGUUCAGACUACCGUGUAAAGUGACAGAGUGUUGUGUAUUGUAGAUUUAUAAGAUUAAUUAUUUCUGCUUUACAAGUAAGUUUAAUGUGUAAAAAUGUCUUCCUUUACAUUUGGAACGCCUACUAUAACGUCGAGUAGUUCAGGUUUUGGAUUCGGAACUCAAAGCACGUCCUUUACUUCAACAACUCCAGCAACUGGGUUAACAUUCGGAACAUCAACUCCAGCUACUACUACUGGCCUAACCUUUGGUUUCGGAGCAACACCGGCAACUUCUGCACCAAGUCAACCAGCUACCACCUUGUUAGGAGCAGGAACAGUCACGACAACGGCAACGCCUAAUUUAUUUUCAACUCCAACUACUUCUGCCCCUUUAUUUACAGGGCGUAAUUUUGGAACACCUGCUCAAAACACAACAUUAAAAGGACCUUUAAAUACUACACCUGCGACGGGAGGUUUAAUGUUUGGAACUGCUACUAGUGCACCAUCUUUGUUUGGUUCUAUUAGUAGUGGUGGUUUAGUAGGUACAAAAUUAACAACCACUACGACUACGACCUCGACCACAAGUAGAGGAUUAGGUGGAUUAGAUGUUUCUGUUAAUAAUAAAGGUCUUUCCCAAGGAAGCAAUAGUCCAACAGCUGCAAAAGAAAAUUUAUUACCAAAUGAACUGAUGCAAACCAUAGAUAAAUUCAAAGAAUUUGUAAAAACUCAGAAGGUUUUAUCUUCUGAUAUAGCAAGAGGUUCUGCGAGACCAUUAAAUCGCUGUGCAGAGGAUACUGCAUCAUUAAUGGAAAUUUUAACUACAUUAGCAGGAUCUGUUCAACGAGAUCGUGCUUUUGCCGAUAAGUUAAAGCAAGAUACAGCAAAAGCAUUACAAAAUGCGGAAAUAGCUCAAAGAACAAACGAUACACCACCUGGCUUACAAUAUGAAAAUAAUGCGCCGCUUCUAUUUUUCAUGGAAUUAACUGAGAAUUUCGAACAUGACUUAAUGUUAUUUAGAUCUCAAAUUGAAACAACAGAAAAACAUAUACAAACUAUGAUGACACCAAAGACCUUAACUCCACAAGAAUUAACUAUGGCUAUGAGUAAACUUCAUGAGUCUUUAGUUGCUGUUGCUGGAAAAUUGCAAGGUGUACAUUCAAAAGUACAACAACAAAAGGAACAAUAUUUAAAUUUUAGAAAAUACGUGUUAAAAGAUAACACAAAUGUUUUUGAUGAUGUUAAGACAAAUGACAAAUCAUUGCGGAACACUAUAGGAAGAAUUACUAGUGGUCCAACACCUUUUAGUCCAGGCAACAGAAGCUUCCUAUCUUCAACAGCAUUGAAUACCGCUCAAGCAACCAGUUAUGAUGCGCGAAAUCCUCUAGGUCUUGCGUGGAUCUAGUGUAAGGUAGAAAUUACUAACAUUUAACGUCCUUAUUAAGUACUGUAGACGUAAUAUAUACAAGACAUGAAUCUGCUCUGUGAUUUGUCUUUUUUAUAUAUAAUACAUAUAUAUAUUUUUUGUUUGUUUAUACAUAUUAUUUUUAUUAUUUGAUUUUAAUUUUGCGUUUGCAGGGGAAAAGUAGAGGCUGUAUUUUAGUUAUUGAGCUUCAGCUAAUUUUGGGGAACUACAACACCAGUCCCUUCUGCUAUAAAUACAACCAUAGAUUCAUCUGUCAAGCCACCAACAGCAAGCUUGAACUUCAACGCGCCAACAAAUCUUACUGCACCUUUGUCAACAAUUGAAUCAAAUUCGAGUUUCCAACUGCAAAAACCACCGAUUGGAAAUAAAAGAGGGAAACAUUAAUUUUA
Molecule: RNA transcript, 1805 nt
Organism: Vespula pensylvanica (western yellowjacket)
Lineage: Eukaryota; Metazoa; Arthropoda; Insecta; Hymenoptera; Vespidae
Gene: Nup58
Gene name: nuclear pore complex protein Nup58-like
Exons: 9
Source: RefSeq, a predicted model, not a curated record